AAAGAACUUUGAAAAGAGAGUGAAAAAGGACGUGAAAUUUGUUGAAAGGGAAGGGCAUUUGAUCAGACAUGGUGUUUUGUGCCCCUCGCUCCUUGUGGGUGGGGGAANNCUCGCAGCUCACUGGGCCAGCAUCAGUUUUGGCGGCAGGAUAAAUCUCUGGGAAUGUGGCUUCUUUCUUCGGGAGGGAGUGUUAUAGCCCAGGGGAAUACUGCCAGCUGGGACUGANGUAUGCGACAUUUUGUCAAGGAUGUUGGCAUAAUGGUUAUAU
RNAcentral lists this ribosomal RNA (268 nucleotides) under Zygosaccharomyces sp. KS3-2007. Its description in RNAcentral is "partial 26S ribosomal RNA". The record is from RNAcentral. Lineage: Eukaryota; Fungi; Ascomycota; Saccharomycetes; Saccharomycetales; Saccharomycetaceae.